AGUGAACGCUGGCGGUAGGCCUAACACAUGCAAGUCGAACGGCAGCACAGUAAGAGCUUGCUCUUACGGGUGGCGAGUGGCGGACGGGUGAGGAAUAAAUCGGAAUCUACUUUUUCGUGGGGGAUAACGUAGGGAAACUAACGCUAAUACCGCAUACGACCUACGGGUGAAAGCAGGGGAUCUUCGGACCUUGCGCGAUUGAAUGAGCCGAUGUCGGAUUAGCUAGUUGGCGGGGUAAAGGCCCACCAAGGCGACGAUCCGUAGCUGGUCUGAGAGGAUGAUCAGCCACACUGGAACUGAGACACGGUCCAGACUCCUACGGGAGGCAGCAGUGGGGAAUAUUGGACAAUGGGCGCAAGCCUGAUCCAGCCAUACCGCGUGGGUGAAGAAGGCCUUCGGGUUGUAAAGCCCUUUUGUUGGGAAAGAAAAGCAGCAGGUUAAUACCCCGCUGUUCUGACGGUACCCAAAGAAUAAGCACCGGCUAACUUCGUG
RNAcentral lists this ribosomal RNA (492 nucleotides) under uncultured bacterium. RNAcentral's name for it is "partial 16S ribosomal RNA". It matches the Rfam family "Bacterial small subunit ribosomal RNA", at positions 29 to 507 of the family's 1533-position model. The record is from RNAcentral.